AUAAGCGCACAGGGCGGAUGCCUUGGCAGUCAGAGGCGAUGAAGGACGUGGUAAUCUGCGAAAAGCCUCGGGGAGCCGAUAAACAGGCUGUGAUCCGGGGAUGUCCGAAUGGGGAAACCCACCCGAUUUUAUCGGGUAUUCCCGAGCUGAAUACAUAGGCACGGGAAGGCGAACCCGGGGAACCGAAACAUCGAAGUACCCGGAGGAAAAGAAAUCAACCGAGAUUCCGUCAGUAGCGGCGAGCGAAAGCGGAGCAGCCCUUGAAGCUGUGCACAGGUCAGUGGAAUGCUCUGGAAAGGGCAGCCAUAGUGGGUGAAAGCCCCGUACACGAAGGCUUGUGCAUGGUGAUAUCGAGUAGGGCGGGACACGUGAAAUCCUGUCUGAACAUGGGGGGACCAUCCUCCAAGGCUAAAUACUCCUGACUGACCGAUAGUGAACCAGUACCGUGAGGGAAAGGCGAAAAGAACCCCGUUGAGGGGAGUGAAAUAGACCCUGAACCCCUGUGCGUACAAGCAGUGGGAGCACUGACCGUUUUCGGACUGUCGGUGUGACUGCGUACCUUUUGUAUAAUGGGUCAGCGACUUGCAUUCUGUGGCCAGGUUAACCGAAUAGGGAAGCCGUAGGGAAACCGAGUCUGAAUAGGGCGUCCGGUCGCAAGACCGGUUGAAGUCGCAGGGUGCAGACCCGAAACCGGGCGAUCUAUCCAUGGGCAGGCUGAAGGUUGGGUAACACCAACUGGAGGGCCGAACCGACUGUCGUUGAAAAGCCAGCGGAUGACCUGUGGAUCGGAGUGAAAGGCUAAUCAAGCCCGGAGAUAGCUGGUUCUCCCCGAAAGCUAUUUAGGUAGCGCCUUGUGGAUAACCCAGGGGGGUAGAGCACUGUGUCGGCUAGGGGGCCAUCCCGGCUUACCAACCCGAUGCAAACUCCGAAUACCCUGGAGUCGGACCACAGGAGACAGACGGCGGGUGCUAAGGUCCGUCGUCGAGAGGGCAACAGCCCAGACCGCCAGCUAAGGUCCCCAAACAUGAUCAAGUGGGAAACGAUGUGGGAAGGCACAGACAGCCAGGAGGUUGGCUUAGAAGCAGCCAUCCUUUGAAGAAAGCGUAAUAGCUCACUGGUCGAGUCGGCCCGCGCGGAAGAUGUAACGGGGCUCAAAUCAUGUACCGAAGCUGCGGCUUUCCGUGCAAACGGGAAGGGUAGGGGAGCGUUCUGUAGGCCGUUGAAGGUGUGCUGGGAAGCAUGCUGGAGGUAUCAGAAGUGCGAAUGCUGACAUGAGUAACGAUAAAGGGGGUGAGAGUCCCCCUCGCCGUAAGACCAAGGGUUUCUGCGCAACGUCGAUCGGCGCGGAGUGAGUCGGCCCCUAAGGCGAGAGCGAAAGCUGUAGUCGAUGGGAAACGGGUUAAUAUUCCCGUACCUUGCACAACUGCGAUGGAGUGACGGAGAAGGCUGGGCCAGCAGGGCGAUGGUUGUCCCUGUUUAAGGUGGUAGGCUGGGCAUUCAGGAAAAUCCGGAUGCCCUUAAGCCGAGAGCUGAUGACGAGCGGUCUACGGACUGCGGAGUGGUUGAUGCCAUGCUUCCAGGAAAAGCUUCUAAGCAUCAGGUUGUGCGGGACCGUACCCCAAACCGACACAGGUGGUCGGGUAGAGUAUACCAAGGCGCUUGAGAGAACCCGGGUGAAGGAACUAGGCAAAAUGGUACCGUAACUUCGGGAGAAGGUACGCCGCUGGAGGUGAAGGACUUGCUCCGUAAGCUUCUGGCGGUCGAAGAGAGCAGGUGGCUGCGACUGUUUAUUAAAAACAUAGCACUGUGCCAACACGAGAGUGGACGUAUACGGUGUGACGCCUGCCCGGUGCCGGAAGGUUAAUUGAUGGGGUUAUCGCAAGAGAAGCUCCUGAUCGAAGCCCCGGUAAACGGCGGCCGUAACUAUAACGGUCCUAAGGUAGCGAAAUUCCUUGUCGGGUAAGUUCCGACCUGCACGAAUGGCGUAACGAUGGCCACGCUGUCUCCACCCGGGACUCAGUGAAAUUGAAAUCGCAGUGAAGAUGCUGUGUAUCCGCGGCUAGACGGAAAGACCCCGUGAACCUUUACUACAGCUUCACACGGGACUCUGAUGCAAUCUGUGUAGGAUAGCUGGGAGGCAUUGAAACCGGGACGCCAGUUCUGGUGGAGUCGACCUUGAAAUACCAGCCUGGUUGCAUUGGUGUUCUAACUCCGCACCAUUAUCUGGUGUGAGGACAGUGUGUGGUGGGUAGUUUGACUGGGGCGGUCUCCUCCCAAAGAGUAACGGAGGAGUGCGAAGGUUGGCUAAGCACGGUCGGACAUCGUGCGGUUAGUAUAAUGGUACAAGCCAGCCUGACUGCGAGAGCGACAACUCGAGCAGGUGCGAAAGCAGGUCAUAGUGAUCCGGUGGUUCUGAAUGGAAGGGCCAUCGCUCAACGGAUAAAAGGUACUCCGGGGAUAACAGGCUGAUACCGCCCAAGAGUUCACAUCGACGGCGGUGUUUGGCACCUCGAUGUCGGCUCAUCACAUCCUGGGGCUGAAGCCGGUCCCAAGGGUAUGGCUGUUCGCCAUUUAAAGUGGUACGCGAGCUGGGUUUAGAACGUCGUGAGACAGUUCGGUCCCUAUCUGCCGUGGACGUUGGAAGUUUGAGAAGAGCUGCUCCCAGUACGAGAGGACCGGAGUGGACGGACCGCUGGUGUUCGGGUUGUGUCGCCAGACGCAUUGCCCGGUAGCUACGUCCGGAAGGGAUAACCGCUGAAAGCAUCUAAGCGGGAAGCCUCCUUCGAGAUGAGACUUCCCAGGACCUUGAGUCCCUGAAGAGCCGUCCAGGACCAGGACGUUGAUAGGCCGGGUGUGUAAGCGUUGUGAGGCGUUGAGCUAACCGGUACUAAUGACUCGUGCGGCUUGACC
Molecule: ribosomal RNA, 2910 nt
Filed under: Kistimonas sp. bin40
Lineage: Bacteria; Pseudomonadati; Pseudomonadota; Gammaproteobacteria; Oceanospirillales; Endozoicomonadaceae
Description: bacterial LSU rRNA
Rfam family: Bacterial large subunit ribosomal RNA
Source: RNAcentral